RNAcentral lists this ribosomal RNA (458 nucleotides) under uncultured bacterium. Its description in RNAcentral is "partial 16S ribosomal RNA". It matches the Rfam family "Bacterial small subunit ribosomal RNA", at positions 338 to 795 of the family's 1533-position model. The record is from RNAcentral.
CCUACGGGUGGCAGCAGUGGGGAAUAUUGCACAAUGGGGGAAACCCUGAUGCAGCGACGCCGCGUGAGUGAAGAAGGAUUUCGGUAUGUAAAGCUCUAUCAGCAGGGAAGAAAUAGCGACCUUUGGGUCGCCAGACGGUACCUGACUAAGAAGCCCCGGCUAACUACGUGCCAGCAGCCGCGGUAAUACGUAGGGGGCAAGCGUUAUCCGGAUUUACUGUGUGUAAAGGGAGCGUAGACGGCAGGACAAGUCUGAAGUGAAAUGCCGGGGCUUAACCCCGGAACUGCUUUGGAAACUGUGCAGCUAGAGAGCAGGAGCGGUAAGUGGAAUUCCUAGUGUAGCGGUGAAAUGCGUAGAUAUUAGGAGGAACACCAGUGGCGAAGGCGGCUUAGUGGACUGUAACUGACGUUGAGGCUCGAAAGCGUGGGGAGCAAACAGGAUUAGAUACCCCAGUAGUC